This is a long non-coding RNA of Amphiprion ocellaris (clown anemonefish), 4190 nucleotides long. The record is from Ensembl. NCBI's taxonomy places the organism in Eukaryota, Metazoa, Chordata, Actinopteri, Pomacentridae.
GCAGACAUGAGGGAAAACAGAGUCACACUGUCAUCUAGUGGACGCUGGACACCAUCAUCAGGACGAUAAUGUUUCAAAAAAUAUAGAAAAAGCAGCACCUUUUUAACCGAUACUUUUUCAAAUAUUUAAUGAGAUUUUAAAGCAAAUUCCGCCAAAAUCGUAGUUAAAAGGUUGAAACCAGUGCAGCGAUUGGAUCACCUUUAAUAUAGUGAGCAUGUAAAGACCGACUCAAACACAAAAUAAUAAAAGCAAAUAAAUCCACAACAUUUAAUAAGAUGCAAAGUUACACAAAAAAAACAAAGCAGGAGGUUACGUAUGUUUAUGCUGUGCAGAAAAUGUACAAAAAAUGGUGAGUCAGGUUAAGGCAAUACGAUAUUAAAAUACACAAUAUAUGAAAAAAAGACAAAUAUAUAUAUUUAUAUACAGUUACACAAAGAUACUGCAUUCUGGAGUCGAAUCAAAAAGUAUAAUGUUUUCAAAAUGUGGAAGCAAGCAACAAAAAAAAAGAUAUUUAUAUUCCUAUAUGGAGAAUACUUAGUGAAGAAAAGGUUUAGAAGAGGAGAAGAUGCUGCUGCAACGCUUUGGUUUGUACUGAGGGACGAUUCCUGCUGAGUUCAGGGAACUGUGAGCACAUUUUUACAUUAUUUUACAGCUGCUUCGGCUCAGUUUUCAGGAUGUAGAUCUGCUCAAAUCUAACCUCUCACUGUCACACUCCAUUUCUCAGCUGUAAAAAUGUGAAUUACAGGCUUCCAGCACAGUAGUAUUUACAUAUUUUACCGUGUUUCUUGAAUAAAAAUAUGAUCUCUGUGGUCAACACAUACAAAAUCAAGUCUCACCGCCAUCGUUUCGUCCUGUAAAUGUAGAACAAACUAUAUUUACAGUAACACAGAACACUUUCUGAAGGAAUUCUCAGUCUUUUUCAUUAAAAUAUUUAUGAAUUCCUGCUGCAGACGAGGUUUAAUGAAGCGAUGUUUGACUGUGUUGCUGUAAAAACUGAGCCAAAGCUUUUGUAAAACACUGUUAGUGGUUUUACCACGUUUCCCAGAAUGCCUCAGUCAGAUUCCAACUUAUGCACAUAUCGUUCUCAUCAACAUCCAAGCUGCAAAUGAAGCUGAUUUUUGGGAACUUUCUAACACAUCUGGGUCUAUUUCUUUACAAUUUGAGUCCAAAUAAGCCAGAAAAAAAAAAAAAUGGAGAAACGCCACGAAAUUCACAUAAAAGCAGAGUUCAUGAUGUCACGUUUACGUCAUAUGAGACAUUUUUUGUUGCAAAUUUUAAUGUGAGACCCUAAAAUAUUCACUUGAACAGCAAAUCCAUUCAUUUGAGAGCCUGUGAGUGGAGAAUAUUUGGCAUUUUCUCUAUUUUUUGGUGAUUUCAGCCACUUUGGAUGUUGACGUAAACAAUAUCUGCCAGCCAGAGUUUAUUUCUGUCUGUUAGUGAAAGUUUAAGAGGCGACUACAAUCAUUCUGUUCUGUUUCUGGCUUUUUUUAUUUGCAGAAAUUUGGUUCGGUUUUCGUAAAAAAAUCCUGAAAAUGAACAGCAGGUUCUGUGUCGUCCCUUUGGUAUCCUGGAGAAUGUAACACCCCAGACUAGUUUUUUGGUUUUUAAAUCAAGUAUUCGAGCUGCUUGUUUAGAAAAAAGUCCAAACGUCAGAUUUCACGGCUCAGUACGGGUCGAGGCUUCUCUCGCAGCGUUUCUUUUCCACCGAUCCUGUUGUUUUAUUUAAACAAAAAGAGGUCAAUUUAAAGGCACUUGAAGUUUUCCAUUUUUUUCCUCAUUUAAAAUGUACAAUAGCUGCCUUUGACUGUUUUACUUCUGCUGCCGGACGGCUGGAUGAUGCUCUGAGCGAGAAUAAAGGAGAAACAGGAGAGAGGAGAGGACGGAAGGCUGCUGUGGAAAACGUGGAAUCUCAUCGGUUUUCAUUUUUAGCUUCUUCACACAAAAAACAGGAAAUCUGAGGCAGUGCUCAACUAUUUUAUGUCAUUUAUCUGUAAAAAAUGAGUUGAUUUAACCCAGGGGUGUCAAACAUGCGGCCUGUGGGCCAAAACCGGCCCUCCAGAGGGUCCAUUCCGGACCCUUGUUUCUUUUUGUCUCAUUUGUGUAAUUUUUCUGUCUUGUUUUUGACCAUUUUUUGUCACUUUGUGACUGUUUUUAUCAAAUUUUUGUGUCUUUUUUUUGUAAUGUUUCGUGUCAUUUGUCUAAUAUUUGUAAUUUUGUGUCUCAUUUUUGUAAUAUUUUGUCUUGUUUUUGUUGUUUUUCUGCCUUUUUUGUCUGACUUUGUCUCGUUUUGAUCAUAAAGUAAAAUACUACAUCGUUCAGUUCCAGAUGACUAAAUGUUGUGUUCCUUUGUUGACACUGCGAUCUGGAAGUUGUAAUGUGUAAAUGAUAAACUGAGGCGUAAUGUUGUUUAAAUAGCAUUUAUUAUUCUUAAGAAAUUUCAUGUUGUUUAUGUUUUGUAAAAAGAUACUUAAUUAAAUGUGAACAUUUUCAGAAUGGACUUUUUUGCACUAAAACAAAGGACAUAUUUGGAUUAUUUCUAGGUUAUCAUGCUGUGAUUUUACUGGUCACUGGAGAUCAAAUUGGGCUGAAUGUGGAACUAACCUGAACUAAAAUGAGUUUGACACUCCUGAUUUAAACUCUCUAAGUCUGAAUUUGUGCUAAUUUGGAGUUAAAGGAAUCACAUUCUGCUUUGGCAAGACAAACAUUUUAAAGGACUAGUGCAAAAAAAAAAAAAAAAAAACGCUCAAAAACUGUCUUUGGUUUCUAUCAAAUAUCGAAUGUUGUACAAUCAGUUUUAGUUUAAGGCACCAUCUGAAUUUUGUCGCCCAACAACAAAAAAAAGCAACAAGACAGAAGAAGUAUGAAAGAAAAGAAAUAUAGAGGAGAAAGGAAGCUGGCUCAGUGACAAAGCUUUUAAAAUAUAUAAACAAGCAGCUGUUUUCACUGAAUCACUCUUAGUAGGAAGUCAUUUUGUUGUGCGCUUCUGAUCUGUUUUUCUUUAAAAUCAUCUUUAUACCCUGUCUGCAAAGCAAGUCUCCCUCACUGGGAGAAACAGCAAAGAGUUGAAAUGAACCGAGUCCAGACGCAUUCUCAAAAGGACAAAAAAACAGCGAUGAUAAUAAUAAGAAUAAAAAAAAAAAGAAACUAUAUAUUUUAUCCUUCUGAGCGUUUGUAGCAGAAAUCAGGUGUUUGAGUCGCUGGAUCUUUAACUUCUGCAUCGAUCAGUCCAGUAAUCCCAGUUUGGAAAUGUCUCAAAACCAGCCCGAACCGAUGCGUUUUCCUGGAAACGUCUCGUUUUGUGGCUCCGACUGGUUUGUUCUGAAGCGUAGAAGAGGCUCGUUGCUGCCCCCUGGUGGCCGACAUGGACUGAACAUCCUUAACCCUCAUGUCGUCCUGCGGGUCAAAUUGACCCGUUUAAAGUUUGAAAAUGUGGAAAAAAAAUCAUAUUUUCACAGUGAAACUUCUGAUGUCCACAUGUUCAACAUUUUGGGGAAAUGUUUGAACAUUUUUUUGUGGAAAAAAGUAAUGUUUCUUAAGAAAACUGGCAAAAAAAUCUGCCAAAAUUCAGCGAAUUUCGCUGGAUUUUGGUAGAUUUUUUUUUGGUGAAUGUACUUAAGAAAAUAUUGCAAGUUUUACUGAUAUACACACAUAGACAAAAUUGUUGGUACCCCUCGGUUAAUGAAAGAAAAACCCACAAUGGUCACAGAAAUCAUUUCAAUCUGACAAAAGUAAUAAUAAAUUACAAUUCUAUGAAAAUUAACCAAUGAAAAUCAGACAUUGCUUUUGAACAGCAGAAUAAUUUAAAAAAAUAAACUCAUGAAACAGGCCUGGACAAAAAUGAUGGUACCCUAGAAAAGACUGAAAAUAAUGUGACCAUAGGGACAUGUUCAAUCAAGGUGUGUCCUCUAAUUAGCAUCACAGGUGUCUACAAACUUGUAAUCAGUCAGUCGGCCUAUUUAUAGGGUUACAGUAGUCACUGUGCUGUUUGGUGACAUGGUGUGUACCACACUAAACAUGGACCAGAGGAAGCCAAGGAGAGAGUUGUCUCAGGAGAUUAGAAAGAAAAUUAUAGACCAGCAUGUUAAAGGUAAAGGCUAUAAGACCAUCUCCAAGCAGCUUGAUGUUCCUGUGACUACAGUUGUACAUAUUAUUCAGAAAUUUAAGAUCCAUGGGACUGUAGCCAACCUCCC